This 529-nucleotide ribosomal RNA is filed under the name uncultured bacterium. RNAcentral describes it as "partial 16S ribosomal RNA". It matches the Rfam family "Bacterial small subunit ribosomal RNA", at positions 355 to 900 of the family's 1533-position model. The record is from RNAcentral.
UGGGGAAUAUUGGACAAUGGGGGCAACCCUGAUCCAGCAAUGCCGCGUGUGUGAAGAAGGUCUUCGGAUUGUAAAGCACUUUCGACGGGGACGAUGAUGACGGUACCCGUAGAAGAAGCCCCGGCUAACUUCGUGCCAGCAGCCGCGGUAAUACGAAGGGGGCUAGCGUUGCUCGGAAUGACUGGGCGUAAAGGGCGUGUAGGCGGUUUACACAGUCAGAUGUGAAAUCCCCGGGCUUAACCUGGGAGCUGCAUUUGAUACGUGUAGACUAGAGUGUGAGAGAGGGUUGUGGAAUUCCCAGUGUAGAGGUGAAAUUCGUAGAUAUUGGGAAGAACACCGGUGGCGAAGGCGGCAACCUGGCUCAUGACUGACGCUGAGGCGCGAAAGCGUGGGGAGCAAACAGGAUUAGAUACCCUGGUAGUCCACGCUGUAAACGAUGUGUGCUAGAUGUUGGGUAACUUUGUUAUUCAGUGUCGCAGUUAACGCGUUAAGCACACCGCCUGGGGAGUACGGGCCGCAAGGUUGAAAC